RNAcentral lists this long non-coding RNA (238 nucleotides) under Elaeis guineensis (African oil palm). RNAcentral describes it as "long non-coding RNA (EGUI_LNC076667)". The record is from RNAcentral. Lineage: Eukaryota; Viridiplantae; Streptophyta; Magnoliopsida; Arecales; Arecaceae.
UCAUUAACUCAGCCAAGGUACACUACAUCUUAUGCAUAUGGAAGUUCAUGAUGAACUGACCAUAUGCAUCAGACAAGGACUGAAGGAUCACAUCAAUCUGAAAAUCUCUGUCUAAGAUGACACCGAGCUUCUCAAGCUCCUCAAGGUCCUUGAUCAUUGUCAAACAAUGAUCUUGGACUGACUGCCCAUCAUGCAUUUUAGCCUUAAAAAGUCUUUGGCAGACUUGAUACUUGGCUGC